This 984-nucleotide ribosomal RNA is filed under the name Trigonopterus sp. 543 AR-2020. RNAcentral describes it as "partial large subunit ribosomal RNA". It matches the Rfam family "Eukaryotic large subunit ribosomal RNA", at positions 677 to 1434 of the family's 3401-position model. Lineage: Eukaryota; Metazoa; Arthropoda; Insecta; Coleoptera; Curculionidae. The record is from RNAcentral.
AGCAUGUGCGCGAGUCAUUGGGAAUAUGACUAAACCUAAAGGCGUAAUGAAAGUAAAGGCUCUCCUCGCGAGAGCCGAGGGAAGACGAGCGGCUAAGGCGGCUAAUCGCCGCGCGCCGCUUCGCAUUCCCGGGGCGUCUCGUUCUCAACGCGAGAAGAGGCGCACCAAGAGCGUACACGCUGGGACCCGAAAGAUGGUGAACUAUGCCUGGUCAGGACGAAGUCAGGGGAAACCCUGAUGGAGGUCCGUAGCGAUUCUGACGUGCAAAUCGAUCGUCGGAACUGGGUAUAGGGGCGAAAGACUAAUCGAACCGUCUAGUAGCUGGUUCCCUCCGAAGUUUCCCUCAGGAUAGCUGGCGCUCGUCGCGUACGAGUCUCAUCCGGUAAAGCGAAUGAUUAGAGGCAUUGGGGUCGAAACGAUCUCAACCUAUUCUCAAACUUUAAAUGGGUGAGAUCUCCGGCUUGCUCGAACGACCGAAAUACACACACACAAACGCGCGCGCUCGCCCGCUCGCUCGCCCGCUCGCGCACGCGCCCGGGAUACGUUAUUUUCUUCACGGGAAAUUUCUUUCCUCGAGAGCGCGUGUGCGGCGGCGGCGGCGGCGGCGCCGCGUUGAAGCCGCGAGAGACACGAGGAUCAGAGUGCCAAGUGGGCCAUUUUUGGUAAGCAGAACUGGCGCUGUGGGAUGAACCAAACGUCGAGUUAAAGCGCCUAAAUCGACGCUUAUGGGAUACCAUGAAAGGCGUUGGUAACUUAAGACAGCAGGACGGUGGCCAUGGAAGUCGGAAUCCGCCAAGGAGUGUGUAACAACUCACCUGCCGAAGUUACUAGCCCUGAAAAUGGAUGGCGCUGAAGCGUCGUGCUUAUACUCGACCGUCAGAGGCAUGUGCGGUGCGCGCGCGCGCGCGCGGCCACGACGCCCUGACGAGUAGGAGGGUCGCGACGGUGAGCGCAGAAGGGCUGGCCGCGAGGCCGUCUGGAGCC